This 408-nucleotide transfer-messenger RNA is filed under the name bacterium. RNAcentral's name for it is "JACKPJ01 sp024233625 Standard tmRNA". It matches the Rfam family "transfer-messenger RNA". From Rfam's summary of the family: Bacterial tmRNA, also known as 10Sa RNA or SsrA, is named for its dual tRNA and mRNA-like properties. Its role is to liberate the mRNA from a stalled ribosome. To accomplish this part of the tmRNA is used as a reading frame that ends in a translation stop signal. RNAcentral also lists the same sequence under 1 other name. The record is from RNAcentral.
GGGGGCGAUUUGGCUUCGACGGAGAUUCGGCGGUGGCUUGUGGCAGGCCAGGGACGUAUGGACCCUGUCAAAACUAUACAAAUUGACAAUUGCCAAAACUGACAAUGUCAUCAAGGUAGCCUUCGGUAAAGCUAAAGCAGCUGUCGCCGAAGCUCCUUUAGCUCUCGCGGCCUAACCCGCUUAGCGAGACCGUCCGCCUCACUUCUCCCACGAGUGAGAUCCGGGCGUCAUUGAGUGGGAUAGCAAUUUGGGGUGGCUUUGACCCAAGGCGCGAAACUUUUUAAAGUCUGGCUGGAGUCCAUCCUGUCGCUGGGAGUGGCUGCAGUAAGAUUGAAUAUAGCGACUAAGCCUGUAGAAGCGGUUACUUAAGAUCUUCGGACGCGGGUUCGAUUCCCGCCGCCUCCAUUU